This 1348-nucleotide ribosomal RNA is filed under the name uncultured marine bacterium. RNAcentral describes it as "partial 16S ribosomal RNA". It matches the Rfam family "Bacterial small subunit ribosomal RNA", at positions 31 to 1393 of the family's 1533-position model. The record is from RNAcentral.
GAACGCUGGCGGCAGGCUUAACACAUGCAAGUCGAACGGUAACAGGACUAGCUUGCUAGUUGCUGACGAGUGGCGGACGGGUGAGUAACGCGUAGGAAUCUACCGAGUAGUGGGGGACAACAGUUGGAAACGACUGCUAAUACCGCAUAAUCCCUGAGGGGGAAAGGAGGGGAUCUGUUUACAGACCUUUCGCUACUUGAUGAGCCUGCGUGAGAUUAGCUAGUUGGUGAGGUAAUGGCUCACCAAGGCGACGAUCUCUAGCUGGUCUGAGAGGAUGAUCAGCCACACUGGAACUGAGACACGGUCCAGACUCCUACGGGAGGCAGCAGUGGGGAAUAUUGCACAAUGGAGGAAACUCUGAUGCAGCGAUGCCGCGUGAGUGAAGAAGGCCUUUGGGUUGUAAAGCUCUUUCGUCGGGGAAGAAAAUGACUGUACCCGAAUAAGAAGGUCCGGCUAACUUCGUGCCAGCAGCCGCGGUAAUACGAAGGGACCUAGCGUAGUUCGGAAUUACUGGGCUUAAAGAGUUCGUAGGUGGUUGAAAAAGUUGGUGGUGAAAUCCCAGAGCUUAACUCUGGAACUGCCAUCAAAACUUUUCAGCUAGAGUAUGAUAGAGGAAAGCAGAAUUUCUAGUGUAGAGGUGAAAUUCGUAGAUAUUAGAAAGAAUACCAAUUGCGAAGGCAGCUUUCUGGAUCAUUACUGACACUGAGGAACGAAAGCAUGGGUAGCGAAGAGGAUUAGAUACCCUCGUAGUCCAUGCCGUAAACGAUGUGUGUUAGACGUUGGAAAUUUAUUUUCAGUGUCGCAGGGAAACCGAUAAACACACCGCCUGGGGAGUACGACCGCAAGGUUAAAACUCAAAUGAAUUGACGGGGACCCGCACAAGUAGUGGAGCAUGUGGUUUAAUUCGAAGAUACGCGCAGAACCUUACCAACACUUGACAUGUUCGUCGCGACUCUAAGAGAUUAGAGUUUUCGGUUCGGCCGGACGAAACACAGGUGCUGCAUGGCUGUCGUCAGCUCGUGUCGUGAGAUGUUGGGUUAAGUCCCGCAACGAGCGCAACCCUCACUUUUAGUUGCCAUCAUUAAGUUGGGCACUCUGAAAGAACUGCCAGUGAUAAGCUGGAGGAAGGUGGGGAUGACGUCAAGUCCUCAUGGCCCUUACGUGUUGGGCUACACACGUGCUACAAUGGCAUCUACAACAGGAAGCAAAACGGCAACGUUAAGCAAAUCCCGAAAAGAUGCCUCAGUUCGGAUUGCACUCUGCAACUCGAGUGCAUGAAGCUGGAAUUACUAGUAAUCGUGGAUCAGCGUGCCACGGUGAAUGCGUUCCCGGGUCUUGUACUCACCGC